This 249-nucleotide ribosomal RNA is filed under the name uncultured bacterium. RNAcentral describes it as "partial 16S ribosomal RNA". It matches the Rfam family "Bacterial small subunit ribosomal RNA", at positions 796 to 1041 of the family's 1533-position model. The record is from RNAcentral.
CACGCCCUAAACGAUGUCAACUGGAUGUUGGAGGGGUUAAACCCUUUAGUGUCGUAGCUAACGCGAGAAGUUGACCGCCUGGGGAGUACGGCCGCAAGGCUAAAACUCAAAGGAAUUGACGGGGACCCGCACAAGCGGUGGAUGAUGUGGUUUAAUUCGAUGCAACGCGAAAAACCUUACCCACCUUUGACAUGGUCGGAACCCUUUAGAGAUAGAGGGGUGCUCGAAAGAGAGCCGAUACACAGGUGC